UCUAACCUGUGUUCCGUUUCACGCCUUAGCUCGGGUAGAUACCUAUGAGUUUGAUCCAAUUGUAAGAACAUUCACGGCAACCAACAGUUUUGCCAAAAAUCUCGACCGUCUUGUCACCUCUAUCUCCUCACUAACACCCAAACCUUAUGGCUUCUACAACCUCUCUUCUGGAGACUCAUCUGGAGAAAGAGCUUAUGCAAUUGGUCUGUGUAGAAGAGAUGUCAAAAGCGAUGAUUGUCUCAGGUGUAUUCAGACAGCUGCAAGAAACCUCACCGAGCGGAAUCCGCAGAAAAAAGAAUAUGUGAUGUGGUACACGCACUGUAUGUUUCGUUACUCGAACAGGAAUAUAUAUGGAAUAAAAGAAACAUAUCCAACUCUGGCUUUUGUUGCCGUUGAAAAGAUAUCAGGAAACAGAGAUGAGUUUAAGCGUCUGCAGGGAGCACUAUUGAAUAGGCUCAAAGGGAUUGCAGCGGCUGGUGGGCCAAAUAGGAAGUACGCUCAAGGGAACAGUUCAGCUUCGGUAGGGUACCGUAGCUUCUACGGAAGUGCGCAGUGUACGCCGGAUUUGUCUGAAGAGGACUGUAAUGACUGUCUAGCUUUUGGGUUUGAGAGUAUCCCAAGUUGUUGUGAUGGUGAGAUUGGUCUUAGGUGGUUUUGUCCUAGUUGUAACCUCCGGUUUGAGACGUGGCGAUUCUAUGAGCUUGAUGCCGACCUAGAGCCUGAUCCACCUGCAAUUCAGCCACCAGCUGCAAAAUUUGAGAGAACAGGUACAUUGAAACACUUUGGAUGUGUCUCUUGUGUGUCCUGUUGCAAAUGUUUUGUCUCUAUGAUUAAGAAAGUGAAUGUUUUAUUGCAGGAAAGGGCAAAGGUGGAUCUAAAGUCGUUAUUGCAAUAGUCAUCCCGACAGUUCUUGUUGCGUUAUUUGCAAUUUGCUUAUGUUUGGUUUUGAAAUGGAAGAAGAACAAGUCUGAAGAUAGAGUCAAAGGUAACACAACGUUCUUCUUCUUGUCAUUCUUUAUUUUGUAACAGAGGAUAAACUAUAAUGCAGAGAAAUACUGUCUGCAUAUUCAGUUUUUGUGAAUUCGCCUUUAUCAGGAUCAAUUGCCGAGGAUGAGUUAUUGGAUGAAGAUUCGCUGCUGAUUGACUUCGAAACUCUAAAGGCAGCAACAGAUAACUUUUCACCAGAAAACGAACUUGGACGUGGUGGGUUUGGUUCAGUUUAUAAGGUAAAGUUUCUUGGAUCAAGCUUUUUUACCGGUAACUUUGGUUUGUUUAUUUGAACAUCUGAUAAGCUUGGGAUUAUGUCUGUCUCAGGGUGUGUUCUCUUGUGGGCAAGAAAUCGCGGUGAAAAGAUUAUCUGGUACUUCUGGACAAGGAGACAUUGAAUUCAAGAACGAAAUUAUACUUCUUGCAAAGCUUCCACAUAGAAAUUUGGUCAGGCUUUUAGGUUUCUGCAUACAAGGACAAGAAAGGCUCCUUGUCUAUGAGUUCAUCAAGAACGCUAGUCUGGACCAUUUCAUAUUUGGUAAUUUUUUGCCCUUUUUUGCUCCAUAUAUGAUCCCACUAUUCUUUUUCCGCUAUGUAUUGAUCUUUGCGCCGUUGCAGAUCUUGAAAAGCGUCAACUUUUGGAUUGGGGAGUGCGAUACAAAAUGAUCGGAGGAGUUGCUAGAGGACUUCUUUAUCUUCAUGAAGACUCUCGUUACCGAAUAAUCCACCGUGAUCUUAAAGCCAGCAACAUUCUUUUGGACCAAGAAAUGAAUCCAAAAUCGCAGAUUUUGGAUUAGCUAAAGUCUUUGACAUAGGCCAAACCGCGACACAUCGAAUCACAAACAGAAUUGCGGGAACCUAGUAAGUAAAAUUCAUAAUUACUAACUUGUUAAAUCCAAAGAAACAUUGGUAUAAACCGGUUAUGUCAUUUCAUCUUGUAGCGGGUAUAUGGCUCCGGAAUAUGUGAUGCGCGGGCAAUUCUCAGUAAAAACAGACGUGUUUAGCUUCGGUGUAUUAGUCAUUGAGAUCAUUACAGGUAACAGAAAUAGCAAUGGUCGAUCUGAUGAUGAUGAAGAUGCAGAAGGUCUUCUUAGUUGGGUAAGUACACUAAGACCAAACUGGUAACUGUGUUUCAGUAUUGGUCAUCUUCUUAAAUGAACUUGUGAUUCUGUUUUGUCUUCUUCUCAGGUAUGGAGACGCUGGAGAGAAGAUAAUAUACUAAGCGUGAUCGAUCCGAGUUUAACCACGGGAUCAAGAAACGAUAUCUUGAGAUGCAUACACAUUGGUUUAUUAUGCGUUCAAGAGAAGUCAGCGACUAGACCAACAAUGGCUUCGGUUGUUCUCAUGCUCAGUAGAUAUUCCAUUACUCUCCCGACGCCUUCAAGGCCUGCGUUUGUGUAUGAGGAUGCGAUACCUUCAAAUGAUUCUUCUUCAACGGAAGGGUUACAAGUGUCGUUGAAUGAUGUCACCGUUUCUGAGUUAUCUCCUCGUUAGGGGGAGCUUUAUCUGUGACUGUAAUUGCUUUUUGAUUCCUCCUUUUUAAUGUUACCUCCUCGUUAAGGAGCGAACCGAUUUAACCAACAAAGAAAAGCGAACCGAACCGUUUACCCUGGUCUAUCUGUUCACUUAGCACCGGUUCGUUAGUUUUACGGUUCGGCGAAUACCGGUUAUCGCAUGUUUCAACUUGUUUCGACCCGGUCUGGGAUCGAUAGUUUAUUUCACUUACUCCCUUUCUUUGUCCUUAAUUCCUUUUUCUUACCGAACCAAGCCUGUCCUGUGUCCUCAAUCCUCAUACAUGGCGCCCGGGUUUCAACGACGUGGUCUUGAGCUAAAUCUAAUUAGUUUCUUUUCUGUAUCCCAAUUGUUAGACAAAAUUAAGGGGUUUGACCUCCCUGUUGUGCUGAUUCGAUCUUGGGACUCUCAAUUUCAAUGGAUUAAUGGAGCUAUCUAGCCUUACCACAGAUUCUCCUCUCGUCGAGUUUAAGCAAUCCGAUACUCACGGGAGAGAUGUACAGUGUGUUUCAUUACUAGACUUGUCGUGAUUAAUGUAUUCACAGCUUCGACUAGCAGGUACUGAUGUUUCCAUGGCGAGAUUCGAGGUCGAGGCUGUUGAUAAGAGCAACAGAGUUACUCAUCUCUGGUCUGUUCCUCCAAUUUUCCUUUGCUACUAUUUCCUAGCAAAGACCUGUGAAUGAAGUUAUGAUCUUUCUUCAUUGAAGUACGCGAGGGCUAUGUUCCUGUGCUGGAAAUUUUAACAUUUUCCGUGGUUUCUGGUUUGCUUGCAUAUUGCAUUUCUCUCGAUGAAGAAAAUAUUAACACUUUGCGUAGUGAAGUGAACACAUUUGUUUGCCGGUUUGAAAACUGUUUCAGUCAUUUCAGUUCAUAUAGGUAAUUGAGAGGAAAGAAGUAAGCAAUGAACAUUUCUUAUAUUCACACUGUUGAACCUGAUUCGCUGCACCAACUCGUUAGUUUUAUAUUGUAGUUCUAUGAAUCUAUCAUCGUGCAGGACCCAGCAACCUGACAAAGCCUGCCCACUUGUGUCUGCUAAUGAAAUUAUAAUGGUUUUUGGUCAGCAACUUGUGUUCUUUCGGCUGUAAGAUUUUGAAAUAGUUCAAGAACUAUUAGCUUUUUUUUUUAAUGAUUCGAGGUCUAUUAGAUUGAACUUUACCAUAUCUAGACGCCUUACGUUCUGGGGUUUUCUCGUAAACGGUACAUCACAGAAGAAAAAAAAAGCUUCAAGCUUCCAUGGAUUAUCUCAGACUUAUCUUCUUCUUCUUCUUCGCUUGUGUCCUAAUGUUUGUUCCAUUUCUCGCAUUAGCUCAGGUGGAUACCUAUGAGUUUUCUCGAAGCUUCAAAUGUGUAUCUCGUGGAGGCAAUUUCACUGCCAACAGCACUUUCUCCAGCAAUCUCAACAGCCUUGUCUCCUCCCUCUCCUCACUCAAAUCCAAACAUUAUGGCUUCUACAACCUCUCUUCUGGAGACUCAUCUGGAGAAACCGCUCACUCAAAUCCAGUCUAUGCUUGGUCUUGAAGUGUAAGAAGAACAAGUCUAGAGAUAAAGUCAAAGGUAACUACAAUGUUCUUCUUCUUGUUAAUGGUAUUCUGUUAAAAAGGAUAAACUAUAAUCCUGAUAACUACUGUCAGCAUAUUCAGUUCUUGGAAAUUCGCCAUUGUCGGGAUCAAUUGCCGAGGAUGAGUUCUCGAACACAGAUUCUCUGUUAGUUGACUUUGAAAAUCUAAAGGCCGCAACAAAUAACUUUUCUCCCGAAAAUGAACUUGGACGUGGUGGGUUUGGUUCAGUUUUCUCUGUAGAUGAAAUUGAUAUGAAAAACUUUUUUUUGUUCCCUUUCUUAAGAUCCGACGACUUUCCGAUCUGAUAAUUCUUACCUUCUCCAAUUUUAAAAAAAAAAAAUCCUAAAACUGGACAAGAACGUGUAGUUUUCGGUUCGGUUUAUCCCGGUUAUUGUGUGUUUCAAAUUUUAAAUCUGUUUCGACCCGGGCUUGGUUCACACUAUAUCUCCGGCGACUAGUUCUUUUGCUCUCCCCAGCUUUAAAAUCCGCCGUCGCAAGACUCGGUUCCUCUCUGUUUCCUCACCGUCAACGCCAUCAAGGAAAAUCCGAUUUACUAGCCGCAAGUGGUUUCGAAGCAGAUUGAAGAAUCCAAACCCAUAAUCAUCGUUUCGGUUCGACAAAAUCAAACCGAUACAUCCAUGGAGGUCCAGGUUCCUGUGCCAAAGAUAUUAACAUUUUGGAUGGUUUCCGGUUUGCAUAUUGCAGGUUAUAGUGAAGAAGCUACAUUGUAGGUUCCAAUUGCAUUUUUAGUUUUGGCCUUCAGAUUUUAGUUUGACAAGUCUUAUGCCUAAACCAGGAUAUAUAUAGAUGUUUCCUCUUACUUUCGUAGUUUGUAGUAAAGCAAACGCAUUUGGUUUCCCCGGUUUGGCCCCUUAUAAAGUCACAUUCCUAAAUUCUGAAAAAGAUAACUCAUUUAGCGAGUAAGAUCCAUGAUGGGUCUCUACUUAAUACUCUGUUUACUAUUAUUUAGAUUAAUGUAAGAUUGAUUAGUUUGAAGUUCUAGUUGGUGUGAAAAGUAUUCAAAGUGUCAGUUUUUUUUGGUCCCAGUUCAAAUUGGUACUUGGGAGGAAAGUGGUGAGCAAUAAUGUAUAUAAAGUUUUUCUCACCACCGUUGACCCGACUCGCAAAGACUGCCCACUAGUGUCUGCUACUGACUUUUAUAAUCGUGUUUGAUCGGAAAGUUGUGUUUUUUUCUGCUGUCAGAUUUUGAAAUUAUUUCAAACGUCAUAUUAGAUCGACCUUUACCAUAAUAACCAGAAGAAGAAAAAAAAAAGGUUCAAAGAUUCCAUGGAUCAUCUCAGAGUUAUCUUCUUCUUCUUCGCUUGUGUCCUAAUGUUUGUUCCAUUUCUCGCCUUAGCUCAGGUGGAUACCUAUGAGUUUUCUCCAAGGUUCAAAUGUGUAUCUCGUGGAGGCAAUUUCACGGCCAACAGCACUUUCUCCAUCAAUCUCAACAGCCUUGUCUCCUCCCUCUCUUCACUCACAUCCAAACCUUAUGGCUUCUACAACCUCUCUUCUGGAGACUCAUCUGGAGAAAGAGCUUAUGCAAUUGGUCUUUGCAGAAGAGAAGUCAACAGAGAUGAUUGUCUCAGCUGUAUUCAUACAGCUGCAAGAAACCUCACCGAGCAGUGUCCGGUUUCGAAACAAGCCGUUGUGUGG
Molecule: long non-coding RNA, 5714 nt
Filed under: Eutrema salsugineum
Lineage: Eukaryota; Viridiplantae; Streptophyta; Magnoliopsida; Brassicales; Brassicaceae
Description: long non-coding RNA (ESAL_LNC002102)
Source: RNAcentral